UGCCAGUGAUAAACUGGAGGAAGGUGGGGAUGACGUCAAGUCAUCAUGGCCCUUACGAGUAGGGCUACACACGUGCUACAAUGGCGCAUACAAAGAGAAGCGACCUCGCGAGAGCAAGCGGACCUCAUAAAGUGCGUCGUAGUCCGGAUUGGAGUCUGCAACUCGACUCCAUGAAGUCGGAAUCGCUAGUAAUCGUAGAUCAGAAUGCUACGGUGAAUACGUUCCCGGGCCUUGUACACACCGCCCGUCACACCAUGGGAGUGGGUUGCAAAAGAAGUAGGUAGCUUAACCUUCGGGAGGGCGCUUACCACUUUGUGAUUCAUGACUGGGGUGAAGUCGUAACAAGGUAACCGUAGGGGAACCUGCGGUUGGA
Molecule: ribosomal RNA, 373 nt
Filed under: Enterobacter cancerogenus
Lineage: Bacteria; Pseudomonadati; Pseudomonadota; Gammaproteobacteria; Enterobacterales; Enterobacteriaceae
Also listed under: 1 other name
Description: bacterial SSU rRNA
Rfam family: Bacterial small subunit ribosomal RNA
Source: RNAcentral